UACAGGGGGUGCAAACGUUGCUCGGAAUUACUGGGCGUAAAGCGCACGUAGGCGGCUUUCUAAGUCGGGGGUGAAAUCCUGGAGCUCAACUCCAGAACUGCCUUCGAUACUGGAAAGCUCGAGUCCGGGAGAGGUGAGUGGAACUGCGAGUGUAGAGGUGAAAUUCGUAGAUAUUCGCAAGAACACCAGUGGCGAAGGCGGCUCACUGGCCCGGUACUGACGCUGAGGUGCGAAAGCGUGGGGAGCAAACAGG
Molecule: ribosomal RNA, 253 nt
Filed under: uncultured bacterium
Lineage: Bacteria
Description: partial 16S ribosomal RNA
Rfam family: Bacterial small subunit ribosomal RNA
Source: RNAcentral